Bufo bufo (common toad) is the source of this 151-nucleotide long non-coding RNA. RefSeq lists it as uncharacterized. Lineage: Eukaryota; Metazoa; Chordata; Amphibia; Anura; Bufonidae. The record is from RefSeq and is a predicted model, not a curated record. The transcript has 3 exons.
GCCUUGUUCAAGGACUGACCUGUCCUGGAAAUCUUAAUCUAGAUCAGUGGUUCUCAAAGUGAGUCCAUUUUCGAUGGAACAUUAUGGGUAACAUGAGAACCUUGGAUCUGGACUGGCAUUGAUUGCUUUACAUUUACAUUGCAUUACAUGC